GACGAACGCUGGCGGCGUGCUUAACACAUGCAAGUCGAACGGGCCCGCUCUCUUUUUUGGGGGUGGGUUGAGUGGCGGACGGGUGAGUAUCACGUGAGUAACCUGCCCCCUGCUCCUGGAUAACUGCUUGAAAGGGCGGCUAAUACGGGGUGUGCCGGCUGGUCCGCAUGGGCCUGGUCGGGAUAGUUUCAUCUUCGGGUGUUUCGGUGGGGGAUGGGCUCGCGGCCUAUCAGCUUGUUGGUGGGGUGAUGGCCCACCAAGGCGGUGACGGGUAGCCGGCCUGAGAGGGUGGGCGGCCACACUGGGACUGAGACACGGCCCAGACUCCUGCGGGAGGCAGCAGUGGGGGGUAUUGCACAAUGGGCGGAAGCCUGAGGCAGCGACGUCGCGUGAGGGAUGGAGGCCUUCGGGUUGUGAACCUCUUUCUCCGGUGGUGAAGGCCCUGUCCGUUGCGGCGGGGUUGACGGUAGCCGGGUAUGAAGCGCCGGCUAACUACGUG
RNAcentral lists this ribosomal RNA (499 nucleotides) under uncultured bacterium. RNAcentral's name for it is "partial 16S ribosomal RNA". It matches the Rfam family "Bacterial small subunit ribosomal RNA", at positions 28 to 507 of the family's 1533-position model. The record is from RNAcentral.